GGGGCUGAUUCUGGAUUCGACGGGAUUCGCGAAACCCAAGGUGCAUGCCGAGGGGCGGUUGGCCUCGUAAAAAGCCGCAAAAAAAUAGUCGCAAACGACGAAAACUACGCUUUAGCAGCUUAAUAACCUGCUUAGAGCCCUCUCUCCCUAGCCUCCGCUCUUAGGACGGGGAUCAAGAGAGGUCAAACCCAAAAGAGAUCGCGUGGAUGCCCUGCCUGGGGUUGAAGCGUUAAAACUA
This 238-nucleotide transfer-messenger RNA is filed under the name Cronobacter sakazakii. RNAcentral's name for it is "partial transfer-messenger RNA". It matches the Rfam family "transfer-messenger RNA", at positions 1 to 243 of the family's 374-position model. From Rfam's summary of the family: Bacterial tmRNA, also known as 10Sa RNA or SsrA, is named for its dual tRNA and mRNA-like properties. The record is from RNAcentral. Lineage: Bacteria; Pseudomonadati; Pseudomonadota; Gammaproteobacteria; Enterobacterales; Enterobacteriaceae.